This 353-nucleotide ribosomal RNA is filed under the name uncultured bacterium. Its description in RNAcentral is "bacterial SSU rRNA". It matches the Rfam family "Bacterial small subunit ribosomal RNA", at positions 29 to 408 of the family's 1533-position model. The record is from RNAcentral.
AACGAACGCUGGCGGCAUGCCUAACACAUGCAAGUCGAACGAAGUCUUCGGACUUAGUGGCGCACGGGUGCGUAACGCGUGGGAAUCUGCCCUUGGGUGCGGAAUAACUUCUCGAAAGGGAUGCUAAUACCGCAUAAUGUCGUAAGACCAAAGAUUUAUCGCCCAAGGAUGAGCCCGCGUAAGAUUAGCUAGUUGGUGGGGUAAAAGCCUACCAAGGCGACGAUCUUUAGCUGGUCUGAGAGGAUGAUCAGCCACACUGGACUGAGACACGGCCCAGACUCCUACGGGAGGCGAACAGUGGGGAAUAUUGGACAAUGGGCGAAAGCCUGAUCCAGCAAUAGCCGCGUGAGUGA